GACGAACGCUGGCGGCGUGCUUAACACAUGCAAGUCGAGCGGUAAGGCCCUUCGGGUACGACGAGCGGCGAACGGGUGAGUAACACGUGGGUGACCUGCCCUCCACUUCGGGAUAAGCCCGGGAAACUGGGUCUAAUACCGGUUAGGACCUCCUCAUGCAUGUGGGGUGGUGGAAAGCUUGUGUCUUUGAUGCUUGCGGUGGGAGU
Molecule: ribosomal RNA, 206 nt
Filed under: uncultured bacterium
Lineage: Bacteria
Description: partial 16S ribosomal RNA
Rfam family: Bacterial small subunit ribosomal RNA
Source: RNAcentral